AAUAAUAAUAAUAAUAAUAAUAAUAAUAAUAAUAAUAAUAAUAAUAAUAAUAAUAAUAUAUCUUGUGGAAGGGAUAGAUAAAGGGUUGAAAAUUAAGUCACCUGUUAACGGUGGUUACAAUCAAAUCAGCCAUCGUUCAAGUCUUCAACAAGAGGACAGACAUAUGAGAUAAAUUAUCGCGGAGCUUGAGUAGCAGGAAAAACAUCGGUGCUGGUAUAGACCAGACCAGGGGAACAAAAGUGGAAUUACAACUUAGUACAUCUAAAAUAAUAAUUAAUCUCUCUUGUAACUCCAAAUAAGUAACUGCUUUGAUUUUAACAUUCCCCUAAUAGUAGUGGAAAGGAUAGAUAAAAUGGUGGAAAAUUAAGUCACCUGUUAAGAUAUGAUUCCAUCGUUCAAGUCUUGAACAACAACACAUAAGAGAGAAAUUGGAAGUCGCGAAGUUUGAGUAGCAGAAAUUGUAGGAAAAAAAAAAGUAUACUAUAGAUAAGGGGAAGGGACAAAAGUGUAAUUACAAACGAGGGUGCAUCACAGCUGUCUAAAAGGAAAAGCAAAUAAUGAAGAAAGAAGUUGACUUUUUUAACAAGUGAAUAAGCAUUUUCUUUUUUCAAUUUGUGUCCAUAGGUCUUUUUAAAUUUUU
Molecule: long non-coding RNA, 640 nt
Filed under: Trifolium pratense (red clover)
Lineage: Eukaryota; Viridiplantae; Streptophyta; Magnoliopsida; Fabales; Fabaceae
Description: long non-coding RNA (TPRA_LNC006604)
Source: RNAcentral